UACGGAGGGGGCUAGCGUUGUUCGGAAUUACUGGGCGUAAAGCGCACGUAGGCGGCUUUGUGAGUUAGCGGUGAAAGCCUGGAGCUCAACUCCAGAAUUGCCUUUAAGACUGCAUCGCUUGAAUCCAGGAGGGGUGAGUGGAAUUCCGAGUGUAGAGGUGAAAUGCGUAGAUAUUCGGAAGAACACCAGUGGCGAAGGCGGAUCACUGGGCUGGUAUUGACGCUGAGGUGCGAAAGCGUGGGGAGCAAACAGG
Molecule: ribosomal RNA, 253 nt
Filed under: uncultured bacterium
Lineage: Bacteria
Description: partial 16S ribosomal RNA
Rfam family: Bacterial small subunit ribosomal RNA
Source: RNAcentral